AUUCCUGUUUUUUUCAUUGGCUUAAGUUCAAAUUGCUAUCUGAACCCUUUCCUUUCCAGAAAUAGGAACUUUUGGAUUGGAAGCACAGGCAAGAAUGGCCUACAUCCUUGAUGUAUAUUAAAAUGACCACACAGAGUUCCUACUGAAUAUAGAAAAGAAAGAACCAUAUUUGUAACUAUUCCUUGUCACUAAGGUGUUAUCUACACAAAAGCAUUGUAACCAAAUAGAAAUAUGGUGUAUUGGACCUUAAGACAUUUUCAGCAUUUUCUACUGUUUUCUAGUGCUCUCCUUCAUGCGUACAUCUAAGGAUCCGUGUAACAUGGUGUCUGUUUUUCUCCUUUCAAAAAAUGAGAAUGAUCAAGAUGAAAAAAUGAAAAAAGAGUGA
RNAcentral lists this long non-coding RNA (385 nucleotides) under Numida meleagris (helmeted guineafowl). RNAcentral describes it as "lncRNA (ENSNMEG00000017310.1)". The record is from RNAcentral. Lineage: Eukaryota; Metazoa; Chordata; Aves; Galliformes; Numididae.